This 171-nucleotide ribosomal RNA is filed under the name Maribacter stanieri. RNAcentral describes it as "partial 23S rRNA. Bacterial LSU". It matches the Rfam family "Bacterial large subunit ribosomal RNA", at positions 2742 to 2925 of the family's 2925-position model. Lineage: Bacteria; Pseudomonadati; Bacteroidota; Flavobacteriia; Flavobacteriales; Flavobacteriaceae. The record is from RNAcentral.
UGGGUAGCUAUGUCGGGAUUGGAUAAGCGCUGAAAGCAUAUAAGCGCGAAACCAGCCACAAGAUGAGAUUUCUUUAAAGGGCCGUGGGAGAUGACCACGUUGAUAGGCUAUAGGUAGAAGGGCAGUAAUGUCCGUAGCCGAGUAGUACUAAUUGCCCGUCAGGCUUGCGCA